Long non-coding RNA from Portunus trituberculatus (swimming crab), 1034 nucleotides. RefSeq lists it as uncharacterized. NCBI's taxonomy places the organism in Eukaryota, Metazoa, Arthropoda, Malacostraca, Decapoda, Portunidae. The transcript is spliced from 4 exons. The record is from RefSeq and is a predicted model, not a curated record.
AGCUGUGUUGUCAAGGUCUGUUUGGGGGGGGAGAUAACCGAAGCAGGAUCAGGAGUUCAGAAUGGCAGCUGGACUAUUCUUCACCCAGACAUCAUGCCCGGUACAUCUCUCCAGUCACCACGCCACUAUCAACCCCUCGGCGCAGCCCAGUGUCCGUUUGUGUCUUAUCCUCGGGUGUGACGUGUAGCAACAGUAACGGGGAGUUUGACCUACGUGACUGAGGUUUUUCGAGCAGCGGAGUGACGUGCGGCUGUUUUUGUGGAGGCCAGCUGACCUGUGUAGCAUGGCGCGGCACGGCAGCAUGGCAAGGGAUAGGCGUUGACGAUCCGAUCGAAAGGCUUGACUCCACAGCGAUAAGGAGUCUCCUCUAUCAAGACAACAACUUUGCACUGCGCCUUCACUGACAACGCCCACUUGAUCUUGAUGCUACAGUUAUUGGCGAUCAAAAGGCCUUGAGUGCAGCGAUCACGUGACUCCUGCACCAUCACUGACCCUUCCCCUAACACCACCGUUGCCGUUACUACCGCUGAGGGACUCUGCCUCGCAGCGCACCCCAGCGGCCCGGCAAACGCCUUCUACUGCUACCACUACCACCACCACCACCACCACCACCACUACUACUACUACUACUACUUGCUACUACUACUAUUGCUACUACCGCCGGCGCCUUCAUCCAGCGAGAUUCAGCUUCGCAUCGCGCACUUUCUGCCAGUCAACACCUGCCGCAGCCGUCCCCGCCCCCGCACCCACCACCACCACCUCCACCAGCAAGGAUUCUGCAUGGCACCUUGACCCUGCACGGCCAUCACCUACUGUUACUGGUACUGCUGGUGGUGUUAGUGGCCAGGGAGGGAAGAGUUGCGGGUUGGCGUGGCAGUCGGUCUUUUCCACUCAUUGUGGGUGGUGGAUGUACUUAGACAGGUGUGGUGGUGUGGUGCCAUUACUCCAUUGUAAUAAAUUGUCUUCACUGCCUCAUUGUGUUGUCACUGUACUAAGCUGUUGUCACUUACUGAAUAAUAAAUUGUGAAGAAAUC